Non-coding RNA from Penaeus vannamei (Pacific white shrimp), 781 nucleotides. NCBI's taxonomy places the organism in Eukaryota, Metazoa, Arthropoda, Malacostraca, Decapoda, Penaeidae. The record is from RefSeq and is a predicted model, not a curated record.
ACCGGAUUGAUAGAUGCCACUGAUAGUAGGUACUGAAAUCAGUCUCCGAGUAGGAGCACCCUCUACAUUCAGUCAUCGCGGUGACAAUGUCAGAGUACCGAACGCGGCGGUUAUUUUGGUUAGGAAUACGAAUAUUGUGGUUCCUAAGGACACGAAACUCGACCUUGAGGCUACAUUCUUAUACAAUAGAUGGCAACAUAGUCACUUCAGUAACUGUAUGGGAUAAUAACUGCCAUCUGUUGGCUGACUCUACUAUACGUCUUACUAGUGUCCAUAUAUCAUUCCACUCCAUCAUCCGAGGCUAUUGAUGUAACCUCGAGAGAGGUGCAAAACCCACCGACAAGGGCGGUCCACUGCUGCUCUUCUAUUCAUGGUAUACCCUGUUCAUCCUGAUUAAACUACUAUCAUCUCUGUAUACAAUGCUGACUAUGUCAAGGUUAAUCUACUGAUUCAGUGGGAAUGUUACAAGGAAAUUGUAAUAUUAUGUCUGCCGCUCCGACAUCGACAAUAAUUUUGUAACGCAUUGGCCUGCCGUGAAUAUGUGGUGGAUGUUUUGUUUCCUCGGCGGGGGUUGGGGGGCGGCAGCCCCCUGCAAUGGAAAGUCAUGUGAAUAACCAUGGUUAUUUUUACUGUGGGUUAUAUUAUUAGUGUUAUUUAACCCCGCAUUUUCCCUGGAACCUUUGAUGCCCUGCCCUGUAUCGGGUCCAAGUGAUAGAAGUCAAUAUAGCAUAUUUUAUAUUCAUUACAAUGAACAUUUGAAAAAAGAUUCUUCCCACUAAGG